Molecule: ribosomal RNA, 358 nt
Filed under: Haptophyta environmental samples
Lineage: Eukaryota; Haptophyta
Description: SSU rRNA
Rfam family: Eukaryotic small subunit ribosomal RNA
Source: RNAcentral
UAGCGUAUAUUAAAGUUGUUGCAGUUAGAACGCUCGUAGUCGGAUUUCGGGGCAGUCCGACCGGUCUGCCGAUGGGUAUGCACUGGUUGGAGUGUCCUUUCUGCCGGAGACCGUGCCUACUCUUAACUGAGCGGGGGCGGGAGACGGCACUUUUACUUUGAAAAAAUCAGAGUGUUUCAAGCAGGCAGCUCGCUCUUGCAUGGAUUAGCAUGGGAUAAUGAAAUAGGACUUUGGUGCUAUUUUGUUGGUUUCGAACACCGAAGUAAUGAUGAGAAGGGACAGUCAGGGGCACUCGUAUUCCGCAGAGAGAGGUGAAAUUCUCAGACCCGCGGAAGACGAACCACUGCGAAAGCAUUUG